UGACAAGGGACGUCUUGGCAAUGCUCGAAAGGCCGCUGUUUUGCGUCUCUCUCACCUCACCUUUUGCGUUUUGUCGCUCGACCCGACUUCCUUCCUUUCCUGAGUUUUUUCCCCCUAAUCCUGUAUGCGGUAGCCGCAGGACUGUGGGGUUUUUCUUCAAUAAAAAAAAAGCCAUGGUCCUCCAUUGGGCCUAAGAAGACAGGACUCUUCUCUUUUACAGAAACGGAAAGAGGGAGGGAAAGCACAGUGUCGUAUCACCUCAAAAUACAUUUGAGAAAUUCCGAUAAAUCAUCUCAAGAAUCUAGAGGACGAUUCCAACCUAAUAAACGUUCCUAUAAUUGCAUCGGCGUCGUCAUAAAUCUGGCUGCACGCAAUAUUCCGGUGAUAAAUUCUGCGGCAUAGAAGAAUUAGCCCACGUUGCUAUGUACGUUACUGUAUUAGUCAACCCCUAUUUUGAAGAGCGCAGCUGUCACUGCAGCGACGAGGAACAGGAGAGCAUACGUUACUCUGGAAAGGGUGAAGAGGGACGCUAGAGUAGGGCUUGUCGUAUGACGAGUUCACUUAAGCUUGAAGAGCCCCGACGAAGACGAGGGCUGGCGAUUGGCACGAGUACUCUAGGGAUGUUUUCAAGCCUGCAGCUGCCCCCCAGAAAUAUCAUGCGGAUCAAGGGCACGCAUGGGCGCUUCUUCAAGUGACGACAGAAGACUGUCUGACGGACGGUAACCAGAGUUACACAACAAUGCAGUAUCCUGCUCAAGAAAAACUCUCAUCCCAAACCAGGACUUAUCUCGUCCAAUCGUUAUCUGGACCCGGUGCAGAUAGCUGUGCGGUCGAGCAUGUACGACUGAAUUAAUAGGAUUUUGUAUUAUUACAAAAUUCGAACUGCGGCUAGGAGACGACACAAUUCAGCAGGACUGUAGCUCCGUGUUACCAAGUUACUUGGCGUCGAUCCAGCCUCCUGAAGUGAAACGAACGAGUUUCCUCCUCGCAGACAGGGUCAAGAAGCGUUUUGUAAAUUUUAGUGGGCAAUUUCUAUCCCAGACUUAUCGACCAGGUGUAUCUACCUGCAUCACUUCCGGAUUGUACCUCAAGACGAAUGUCCUCCUCUACGAACAUCCGACUCGCAUUUGCCAACGGGAAGCAUUGGCCAUUGACUUUGUCGUCGAGUCCAGAGCCAUUGUGAACGGUCAUUUGGCACGAAUAAUUGUCAAUAGAAAAAAGAAGGAAAAAAAGAGAACAAAAGUCCUUGAGCAAUUUUUCCCAGAGUUCUCUUCAAAUUUGGCCACGUGCUGCACCAGGUUCUAAAUGCAUGAGAAUAUACCUAGUGAGAACAUCCAAUGGAGGUAUUGUCCUUGAUAAAUAAUAAUGCACCAAGCAUAUGGCGCAGAAGUGCAUUCUUUUAGGAUCCAUUCAAACGGCCACGUGGAUCAAACAAUAUGGUAUAACUAAGUAUUCUUAGGAUUUUAAUAACUAUAAAAUAGCUCAGUGCACUGGACUCAAUGACUUUUAUAAACAUUGCCUUACGCACAGGCUAAUGCGGUUGCUUCUGCAGCGAACAGGUUACAGUGCCAUCCUGGUUGCACACCUAGCGCUACGUGAAUAAGGCCUAGCUAAGCUACGUAAUGAGAUGGGAGUUGCGGUGAAUUAAGUUUAAGAAUUCUAUUAGCACUAUAGGUAGACUAUAAGCGUCACUCUAUGUAUAUGCACUAGCUGUAUGCACCAAGCAUCUUGUGCGAACUCAGCGAGAUGCACCGGGUUCAGGAUUCACUGACGUGUAUCUUAUUUACCUUACGCUGCACCAGGGAUGCACUUUUCGUCGAGUAGAUUCUAACCCGAAGCACAUAAUAGCCCUUAGCCCGUACGUGGGUAGAACUUAAUCGUAAGAUCACAUUGUAAUGCGAAGCGUGUUCUGUAUUUUCGAUAUGACUUUAUUACUGCAACAAGUGCAUUGACAUCUAGUGCAUAAAAUAUGCAUAUACUACUUUAAUGAACCUGGUGCUAAAAAGGAUAAUCGAACCGAUUCAACGCACAGCGUGAAGUUGCCCGUGUCUUUCUGUGGUCGUUAUAAUACACCCCUUCUAAAUAAUGCAUCCCUCCGGGAUGCACAUGCACUAGGCUCCGAAUGCAUAGGACAAUAGGGUAACUGUACCUACAGCUGUCAAGCCAUGUGCCACCGCGUGAUAUGCAAAUAGGUGGUUUAUAAAUGUCCUAUGUUUUAUUUAGAACACUGAAAAACAUCCGUACUCUGAGUUGCUGUGAACUCUGCGGUGUAUAAUUCAAUUGAACCACAAUGGUAGGAGGGAGGUGGAGGAGGAAUUGAACAGAUAUAAGACUUAUCAGUGAUAACUCGAGUGCAGGAGGAAUUUUCAAUGUAAAUCCAAUUGAUGACGUAGCCACUGUAUACAGAAGAGCCACCUCGUGGAGCACCGAGGAAUGUGUUGCAUGGUCUAGGUGAACACGUAUUCUGGGAAUAAGAAAUUAAACCAGACGUAGCAAGUGUCUGUCUCUCUGAUGCACUUGUACGUGGCUCAUGUGUACUCCAGUGUCGGAUUUCCUGGCUAAGAAUUAGUCUUUAAAACGUUAAGUCCUCCCGAGAACAAAGUCGAUCCUCUUGCGGAUUUACCUGGAAAGUCGACGUGGGAGUAGUUCUGGAGAAAGGAAAAGAACGUUCAAGAAAAUUCAUGAAGAGAUUCUAAUGCCCGUACGAAAUAGAUAUGUAAAGCGAAGAGGAUAGUUUGGAUUCAACGCGACCCAAAGAAAGGAAGCCCAGCGACUUUAAUAGGAGCCAAGUGAAGC
Long non-coding RNA from Cephus cinctus (wheat stem sawfly), 2796 nucleotides. RefSeq lists it as uncharacterized. The record is from RefSeq and is a predicted model, not a curated record. The transcript is spliced from 5 exons. NCBI's taxonomy places the organism in Eukaryota, Metazoa, Arthropoda, Insecta, Hymenoptera, Cephidae.